RNAcentral lists this long non-coding RNA (508 nucleotides) under Homo sapiens (human). Its description in RNAcentral is "HSALNT0246612". Lineage: Eukaryota; Metazoa; Chordata; Mammalia; Primates; Hominidae. The record is from RNAcentral.
GAGCGAGGCAGAUGCGCAGGUGCGCGGACCAGGUGUGUGAGCCUCCAGCAUCGCCUCCUCUGGGAUCUUCUCUGACUUCCCAGUCGGUUUCAGAAGCCUCUGAUGACCCCAUGCGGAGAAGACUGCUCCCCUCACUGCUGGCACACGGCAGAUGCUCAACACUUGCUCCAGCUUCGCCUUCCGCCGCGAGUUGAAGCUCCCCGAGGCCUCCUCAGAAGCAGAAGCCACCACGCUUCCUGUACAGCCUGUGGGACCCGGAGCCAGUUCAACCUCUUUUCUUUAUAAAUUACCCAGACUCGGCCGGGCACGGUGGCUCACGCCUGUAAUCCCAGCACUUUGUUGAGACCGAGGCAGGCAGAUCACGAGGUCAGGAGAUCGAGAACAUCCUGGCUAACACGGUGAAACCCCGUCUCUACUAAAAAUACAAAAAAUUAGCCGGGCGUGGUGGCGGGCGCCUGUGGUCCCAGCUACUCGGGAGGCUGAGGCAGGAGAAUGGUGUGAACCCGGG